GACGAACGCUGGCGGCGUGCUUAACACAUGCAAGUCGAACGGAAAGGCCCUGCUUUUGUGGGGUGCUCGAGUGGCGAACGGGGGAGUAACACGUGAGUAACCUGCCCUUGACUUUGGGAUAACUUCAGGAAACUGGGGCUAAUACCGGAUAGGAGCUCCUGCUGCAUGGUGGGGGUUGGAAAGUUUCGGCGGUUGGGGAUGGACUCGCGGCUUAUCAGCUUGUUGGUGGGGUAGUGGCUUACCAAGGCUUUGACGGGUAGCCGGCCUGAGAGGGUGACCGGCCACACUGGGACUGAGAUACGGCCCAGACUCCUACGGGAGGCAGCAGUGGGGAAUAUUGCACAAUGGGCGGAAGCCUGAUGCAGCAACGCCGCGUGCGGGAUGACGGCCUUCGGGUUGUAAACCGCUUUCGCCUGUGACGAAGCGUGAGUGACGGUAAUGGGUAAAGAAGCACCGGCUAACUACGUG
This 468-nucleotide ribosomal RNA is filed under the name uncultured bacterium. RNAcentral's name for it is "partial 16S ribosomal RNA". It matches the Rfam family "Bacterial small subunit ribosomal RNA", at positions 28 to 507 of the family's 1533-position model. The record is from RNAcentral.